UUGCACGCUGGCGGCAGGCCUCACACAUGCCAGUCGAACGGUAACAGGAAGCAGCUUGCUGCUUUGCUGACGAGUGGCGGACGGGUGAGUAAUGUCUGGGAAACUGCCUGAUGGAGGGGGAUAACUACUGGAAACGGUAGCUAAUACCGCAUAACGUCGCAAGACCAAAGAGGGGGACCUUCGGGCCUCUUGCCAUCGGAUGUGCCCAGAUGGGAUUAGCUAGUAGGUGGGGUAACGGCUCACCUAGGCGACGAUCCCUAGCUGGUCUGAGAGGAUGACCAGCCACACUGGAACUGAGACACGGUCCAGACUCCUACGGGAGGCAGCAGUGGGGAAUAUUGCACAAUGGGCGCAAGCCUGAUGCAGCCAUGCCGCGUGUAUGAAGAAGGCCUUCGGGUUGUAAAGUACUUUCAGCGGGGAGGAAGGGAGUAAAGUUAAUACCUUUGCUCAUUGACGUUACCCGCAGAAGAAGCACCGGCUAACUCCGUG
Molecule: ribosomal RNA, 489 nt
Filed under: uncultured bacterium
Lineage: Bacteria
Description: partial 16S ribosomal RNA
Rfam family: Bacterial small subunit ribosomal RNA
Source: RNAcentral